GAUGAAGAACGUAGCAAAAUGCGAUAAGUAAUGUGAAUUGCAGAAUUCAGUGAAUCAUCGAAUCUUUGAACGCACAUUGCGCCCGCCAGUAUUCUGGCGGGCAUGCCUGUUCGAGCGUCAUUUCAACCAUCAAGCCCCAGGCUUGUGUUGGGGACCUGCGGCUGCCGCAGGCCCUGAAAACCAGUGGCGGGCUCGCUAGUCACACCGAGCGUAGUAGCAUACACAUCGCUCAGGGCGUGCUGCGGGUUCCGGCCGUUAAACCCCUUUUUUACCCAAGGUUGACCUCGGAUCAGGUAGGAAGACCCGCUGAACUUAAGCAUAUCAAUAAGCGGAGG
Molecule: unclassified non-coding RNA, 335 nt
Filed under: soil metagenome
Description: partial contains 5.8S ribosomal RNA, internal transcribed spacer 2, and large subunit ribosomal RNA
Rfam family: 5.8S ribosomal RNA (bases 1-120)
Source: RNAcentral